AAAUCUUUAGUUUGUGCCACUAGAGAUACCAAACCUUUAAAAAAUAAGUAAAGCCAGUCCAAAAUAACAGUUUCCGUCUAUUUGACCGCCAAAACCGUCAGUUGACCCCUCUAAUGAUAUUUUCAAGAAUUUUCCCCAAAUAAGUGAAGGGCAAUAUUGGCAUUACACACAUUUCCCUUCUCAACAUCAAACACGUUAGUUGCAACUUCAUUCCACUCACCAUCCACUAUGGACCCUGUGAAAACCUACGAAGAAGACGAAACGUACGUCAAAGAAGACAAACAUCCAGUGGACAUUGCAUCCCACAUUCGAGGCUCUCUUCCCCAACCCAUGUAUGGUUAGUGUGUUUCCAUUUUUUCGAUUUACGGUGUGAAUUUCUGUGAUUAUGAAGUUCCCCUGUUCGAUUGUCUUCACGUACUGGAAAAUUCAAAAAUUUUAAAUGACUUGGUAUAUUAGAGCGUAAUGCUUGUGUACUAUUUUUUCUGCACAUGUUUGUUGCUCGAACUAAAAAGGGCUGGGGAUUAACUUUAUUUUUUUCAUUUUUUUUUCAGGGGAAAAUUCAAAGUACUUCAGCAUACAGCUUUAUCAUGGUAGAAUUUUAUUUCGGAAGAUAAGAAAUUUUGUGUGUGAGCGUGGAAAAAUAAGUUAUAUAGACUAUAUCGACCCAGACUUCUUCAAUAGAUUUCUUUUGGACAGUGCCAUGAAGAUGUUAG
This 713-nucleotide long non-coding RNA is filed under the name Olea europaea (common olive). RNAcentral's name for it is "long non-coding RNA (OEUR_LNC011750)". Lineage: Eukaryota; Viridiplantae; Streptophyta; Magnoliopsida; Lamiales; Oleaceae. The record is from RNAcentral.